Molecule: non-coding RNA, 1659 nt
Organism: Camelina sativa (false flax)
Lineage: Eukaryota; Viridiplantae; Streptophyta; Magnoliopsida; Brassicales; Brassicaceae
Source: RefSeq, a predicted model, not a curated record
AUCUUUAUAGUAAGAGAAGCUUCUGUCUGUUUUUUUCUUUUUCGGAUCUACAGUUCUCAGAGAAAGGAAGAAGUAUCUACAAAUCUCAGAUAUUUUCGCAUAAAGCUUUCUUCUUUUGCACCCAAUUUAAUCACAGCCCACUUGUAAAUCAUCUCCAACACUUGCGCGUGUCUUUUGAUUGGAUCGACAUACAUACGGCUUCUCUCCUCCGCUUCCUUAGCUUCCAAAUCCCAAGUAUCAUUUUGUUGUAAAGCGAUCAUGGAGGUAUCUCAAACAACAGUCAACGUUGUGGUCUUCUUCAGUGUGUGGCUUAUCUUUCCCUGCAUCUUUAGGCUUAUCAAAUCAAACUUCUACAUGACCAACUAUCACCAGAAGGUCCAGGAGCUAGUCUUCUUCUGGUUUAUCGCUGAAACUCUCUCAGGCCGUCCUUGUAUCGACAUACCAGAGAUAGGCUCUGCUUGGGAAAUGAAGAAAAUGGUUAAACGUGGCUUCGGUUUGAAGAUACAGACUGAAUCCGAGGCUAUAAUUGCUGCUAAGAAUCUCUUCCAACACUGUAGCCAAGCCUAGAUCCGAUUUCAUUGAGUUGGAGGACUUAGCUCGCUUCCUUCCAGAAUAUGAUGCUUUGGCGACUUUUAACAUCCUACAAGGAGAGGGUGACAAAACCCCAAUCACCUGCUCCUCUCUCCAACAUUGGAUGUUAUAUGCAUUCAGACUUGAAAGAUCUCUUGUCUUGUCAAUGCAAGACACAGAUUCUAUACUCAGUUGUGUGACCAUCACAGCACACCUGGUUGUUUGGAUUGCAUUAGCCAUUUCUUCUGUCCCUAUUGUGCUACAGCUAGGCGGAUACAAGCUCCAGAUCUUCUAUGUUUCCUUGGCCUUUCUCGCCAUAACCCUACUUCCCACGCAGAGUUUGGCCCAGCAGUCGAUUCAGUAUUUCGUCCUUGUUCAUCCUAUGUUAGUUGGCGAAAGAUGUCGAGUUGAUGGUGUUGAAUUGGUGGUGAAGAAAAUAGGCCUAUUCUCAACAGUGUUUAUAGGACUCGAUAACAAGGAACAGCAAGUUAGCCAUAGUACUCUAUGGUGCAAGGGCAUUCAUAAAUAUAAAGGCAGUUCUCGGUUGGAGAAGAUGUCGUUGGUUCUGGGUUUAGGCUAAGAGGUAUUUGUUUCCAUUGACUACUUGCUAUGAGGUAUUUGUGUUUAAGGUACAACAGUAGUUUUCUUUGUUUUCAAGUCUUUGAAGAUCAAGAUAUAAAGAUGAUUUGUAGAGGGUUCAGUGCAUCUAUCAAGUAUAGCUAUAUAUGAUGCUUUCGAAAUACAUUUUGAUUCUUCGAACUCAAAUGCAUAAAAGGUUAGAUAUUAGAAGAGAAAUCCUUUAAGAAACCUGAUAGUUUAUGAAGAUCUCAAAGAUAAGUCGGUCAGUACUCGUCUAAGAAAACAACUUUCCUUUCAGGCAUUUCGUCCAACACUUGAUUGGGCAGGUUUUUCAACAGAUAGUAGCAGAGAGAGAAGCAGAGAUGACUUGGGAGAAGUUUUUAGUAAAGUUCCUUGAGUAGGGCAAUUCGUAAAUAAGGGUACAAAAUCAGUUUAUUGGGUUUUAGUGUUCGACCAUAUUGUUGUAAUUUGCUAUAAGGAUCCCUAUGCAGUUUGCAGUUUCAUUUAUUA